RNAcentral lists this ribosomal RNA (1173 nucleotides) under Triticum aestivum (bread wheat). Its description in RNAcentral is "partial small subunit ribosomal RNA". Lineage: Eukaryota; Viridiplantae; Streptophyta; Magnoliopsida; Poales; Poaceae. The record is from RNAcentral.
AUGGAGAUCGCCGCGGCCAGCCGUAGGCUAGUCAAAGGUAUCCAUGUCGUGGAAAUGGAUAUCCGUCGGCGCUGGCCGUACAGAUACAUCACGAGCCAAAAAAUAAGCUUUGUUUUUUCCUCCUCUGUUCCGGCGGGGGGAGGCGGCGAUGGCCGCGUGGGACGCGGUGGCCGGUGGGCGGCGCUCUACGACCAGUCCGCGCUCGACGCCGUCGCCUUCUUCGACGUGAGCGCCAACGCCGAGCGCCAACGCCGGGGUCCUCUCCGCUACGGCCAUGUCGUCACCGCCGUCGAGAACUUCCCCGACCACCGCGGCACCGUCAACGGCAUUGUGAAGACAUGGCAUACUCCAUAUGGCAUUAAACCAUCUAUACAUGGUUUUCUGGGCUUGAGUGCAGCAACACCGGUUCAGGUACAGUGCACUCUCCAUAUUGAUCCUGGCAGUUUCAUACUUAUGCUAGAGAUAUUACCCACAGCCAUCGCAUUGCUUCUCACGUAUUUUGUCGAUGUCCACAGCGCUCAUCAGCGGUACAACAAGAAGUUCCUUGAUGCCUUCUCUCUCAUGGCCUUUACUGUUGCUGGGUACCUGAAAGUUGUCAUAAUCUGCAACCAAGACAUGUCGUCGCACAAAGAAAGCCUGAAUGCGGUGCAGGCCAUGUGUAAAUUCGACUUCUGGCUGCUCUUCCUUGCGAUGGCCUGCGGGAUGGGAUCGGGGCUAACCACGGUGAACUACGUCAGCCAGAUAAGGGGCUCCCUUUGGCUAGACGAGCAGGGAGACCAUCACCCUGGUGUCGCUCUGGAGCAUCUGGAACUUCUCUGGGAGGUUCGGUGCAGGCUGCGUCUCCAAUCACUUCCUCUAGUCGUGAGGAGUAGGCAGGCCUUUUUCAUAGCAGCGACGCUUCUGGUCAUGGGUGUAGGACACACCAUCAUCUCCUCCGGUUUCCGCGCGUCGGUCUACAUCGGCUCCGGUUUCCAGAGGCACUUCUGUGACAAGGAGUCACCACAAGGUGAGUUUGCCUGCGCCGCUUCCUCCGGUGUUGCGCCCUUCCCGUCGUCUUUCUCCUUUUCUUUCUUCCCCUCUUUCUCCUCGGCUUUCUCCGCUUCUGCCUCCUCUUCCCCAUUCGCCUUCGUCUUUGCCGCUGCCACGUCUUUCUUAGCCUCCUCGAGCGGCUAA